RNAcentral lists this ribosomal RNA (253 nucleotides) under uncultured bacterium. RNAcentral's name for it is "partial 16S ribosomal RNA". It matches the Rfam family "Bacterial small subunit ribosomal RNA", at positions 524 to 776 of the family's 1533-position model. The record is from RNAcentral.
UACGGAGGGUGCGAGCGUUGUCCGGAAUCACUGGGCGUAAAGGGCGCGUAGGCGGGCUGCCAAGUUUGGGGUGAAAUCCUCCGGCUCAACCGGGGAAGUGCCUUGAAUACUGGCGGUCUGGAGGGAGGUAGGGGCGUGCGGAACUAACGGUGGAGCGGUGAAAUGCGUUGAUAUCGUUAGGAACUCCGGUGGCGAAGGCGGCACGCUGGACCUUUUCUGACGCUGAGGCGCGAAAGCCAGGGGAGCGAACGGG